RNAcentral lists this long non-coding RNA (482 nucleotides) under Oncorhynchus kisutch (coho salmon). RNAcentral's name for it is "lncRNA (ENSOKIG00005050300.1)". The record is from RNAcentral. Lineage: Eukaryota; Metazoa; Chordata; Actinopteri; Salmoniformes; Salmonidae.
AAGCAGACACAUUUCUGUUGUUCACUAACAUGGACAAUAAAGUUGUAUUGAUAUUGAUUGUGUUAUUUUCCUUUUGACCUUUGACUUCCAGUUACCUCAGUACUCUUAUCUUGGUAAGGGUCAGGAUGGACAGAUGGGUGUCUACACCGUCCAGGUGGCCAAUGGAGAUGACGUCAAAGAGAUCACCUUUGACCUGCAGGUCAUUGCUCCCCCGAAGAUAGUAGAUCUGUCUAACCAGCACAUGGACCAGGGCCACGGUGUGCUCUGUGUCACAGAUGGGGCCCCCACACCCACUGUUCACUGGUACAGCUGUGAAACCAAUGGAAAGUAAGAGGGAAAAACCCUGGAAAUAAAUACUGACCAACACAAUGAAGCAUAUUCAGCCUCUUCAGUUGUGUUGCGACUUUCUCCUCUCAAACUGUAGAGGGUAGUGCAGCGCUAGGGCCACAUUCGUAAAUAUUAGUCAUAAUUGUUAGACCUGU